AGAGUUUGAUCCUGGCUCAGGAUGAACGCUAGCGACAGGCCUAACACAUGCAAGUCGAGGGGUAACAGGGGCUUCGGCCCGCUGACGACCGGCGCACGGGUGAGUAACGCGUAUGCAACCUGCCUGUAACAGCGGGAUAGCUCCCUGAAAGGGGAAUUAACACCGCAUAAGACCACGCUCUCGCAUGGGGACGGGGUAAAAUAUUUAUAGGUUACAGAUGGGCAUGCGCGACAUUAGCCAGAUGGUGGGGUAAAGGCUCACCAAGGCGACGAUUGGUAGCCGAACUGAGAGGUUGAUCGGCCACAUUGGGACUGAGACACGGCCCAGACUCCUACGGGAGGCAGCAGUGGGGAAUAUUGCGCAAUGGGGGGAACCCUGACGCAGCAACGCCGCGUGAAGGAUGAAGGUUUUCGGAUUGUAAACUUCUUUGAUGAGGGACGAAACAAAUGACGGUACCUCAAAAACAAGCCACGGCUAACUACGUGCCAGCAGCCGCGGUAAUACGUAGGUGGCGAGCGUUGUCCGGAAUUACUGGGUGUAAAGGGCGUGUAGGCGGGGGAGCAAGUCAGAUGUGAAAUACCGAGGCUUAACUUCGGGGGUGCAUCUGAAACUGUUUUUCUUGAGUGUCGGAGAGGAAAGUGGAAUUCCUAGUGUAGCGGUGAAAUGCGUAGAUAUUAGGAGGAACACCGAUUGCGCUGGCAGCACACUAAGUCAUUAUUGACGCUGAGGCACGAAAGUGUGGGGAUCAAACAGGAUUAGAUACCCUGGUAGUCCACACUGUAAACGAUGAUAACUCGCUGUCGGCGAUACACAGUCGGUGGCCAAGCGAAAGCAUUAAGUUAUCCACCUGGGGAGUACGACCGCAAGGUUGAAACUCAAAGGAAUUGACGGGGGCCCGCACAAGCGGAGGAACAUGUGGUUUAAUUUGAUGCAACGCGAAGAACCUUACCAGGUCUUGACAGUGUAAAGAAUACUUAAGAGAUU
RNAcentral lists this ribosomal RNA (984 nucleotides) under uncultured bacterium. Its description in RNAcentral is "bacterial SSU rRNA". It matches the Rfam family "Bacterial small subunit ribosomal RNA", at positions 8 to 1008 of the family's 1533-position model. The record is from RNAcentral.